This 446-nucleotide ribosomal RNA is filed under the name uncultured bacterium. Its description in RNAcentral is "partial 16S ribosomal RNA". It matches the Rfam family "Bacterial small subunit ribosomal RNA", at positions 329 to 792 of the family's 1533-position model. The record is from RNAcentral.
UUCCAGACUCCUACGGGAGGCAGCAGUGGGGAAUAUUGCACAAUGGGGGAAACCCUGAUGCAGCGACGCCGCGUGAGCGAAGAAGUACCUCGGUAUGUAAAGCUCUAUCAGCAGGGAAGAAAAUGACGGUACCUGACUAAGAAGCCCCGGCUAACUACGUGCCAGCAGCCGCGGUAAUACGUAGGGGGCAAGCGUUAUCCGGAUUUACUGGGUGUAAAGGGAGCGUAGACGGCAAUGCAAGCCAGAUGUGAAAGCCCGGGGCUCAACCCCGGGACUGCAUUUGGAACUGUGUAGCUGGAGUGUCGGAGAGGCAGGCGGAAUUCCUAGUGUAGCGGUGAAAUGCGUAGAUAUCAGGAGGAACACCGGUGGCGAAGGCGGCCUGCUGGACUGCGACUGACGUUGAGGCCCGAAAGCGUGGGGAGCAAACAGGAUUAGAUACCCUCGUA